AGGAGUCGUAUGAGGUAAUUCCUCACGUACGGAUCUGUGCGGGGGGGGGGGGCGGUAACGGGCAUUCCUACCGUGAU
RNAcentral lists this unclassified non-coding RNA (77 nucleotides) under Desulfotruncus arcticus DSM 17038. Lineage: Bacteria; Bacillati; Bacillota; Clostridia; Eubacteriales; Desulfallaceae. The record is from RNAcentral.